ACACUCCUACGGGAGGCAGCAGUGGGGAAUUUUGGACAAUGGGCGAAAGCCUGAUCCAGCCAUGCCGCGUGCAGGAUGAAGGCCUUCGGGUUGUAAACUGCUUUUGUACGGAACGAAACGGCCUUUUCUAAUAAAGAGGGCUAAUGACGGUACCGUAAGAAUAAGCACUGGCUAACUACGUGCCAGCAGCCGCGGUAAUACGUAGGGUGCAAGCGUUAAUCGGAAUUACUGGGCGUAAAGCGUGCGCAGGCGGUUAUGUAAGACAGUUGUGAAAUCCCCGGGCUCAACCUGGGAACUGCAUCUGUGACUGCAUAGCUAGAGUACGGUAGAGGGGGAUGGAAUUCCGCGUGUAGCAGUGAAAUGCGUAGAUAUGCGGAGGAACACCGAUGGCGAAGGCAAUCCCCUGGACCUGUACUGACGCUCAUGCACGAAAGCGUGGGGAGCAAACAGGAUUAGAAACCCUGGUAGUCCC
Molecule: ribosomal RNA, 472 nt
Filed under: uncultured organism
Description: partial 16S ribosomal RNA
Rfam family: Bacterial small subunit ribosomal RNA
Source: RNAcentral